This 497-nucleotide ribosomal RNA is filed under the name uncultured bacterium. RNAcentral describes it as "partial 16S ribosomal RNA". It matches the Rfam family "Bacterial small subunit ribosomal RNA", at positions 28 to 507 of the family's 1533-position model. The record is from RNAcentral.
GAUGAACGCUGGCGGCGUGCCUAAUACAUGCAAGUCGAGCGAACAGACGAGGAGCUUUCUCCUCUGACGUUAGCGGCGGACGGGUGAGUAACACGUGGAUAACCUACCUAUAAGACUGGGAUAACUUCGGGAAACCGGAGCUAAUACCGGAUAAUAUAUUGAACCGCAUGGUUCAAUAGUGAAAGACGGUUUUGCUGUUACUUAUAGAUGGAUCCGCGCCGCAUUAGCUAGUUGGUAAGGUAACGGCUUACCAAGGCAACGAUGCGUAGCCGACCUGAGAGGGUGAUCGGCCACACUGGAACUGAGACACGGUCCAGACUCCUACGGGAGGCAGCAGUAGGGAAUCUUCCGCAAUGGGCGAAAGCCUGACGGAGCAACGCCGCGUGAGUGAUGAAGGUCUUCGGAUCGUAAAACUCUGUUAUUAGGGAAGAACAAAUGUGUAAGUAACUAUGCACGUCUUGACGGUACCUAAUCAGAAAGCCACGGCUAACUACGUG